Molecule: long non-coding RNA, 248 nt
Filed under: Manihot esculenta (cassava)
Lineage: Eukaryota; Viridiplantae; Streptophyta; Magnoliopsida; Malpighiales; Euphorbiaceae
Description: long non-coding RNA (MESC_LNC010791)
Source: RNAcentral
UUGUUGAGAAUUCCAUCAAUGAACUUAUAGAAGAGGUUAUGAAUGAUGAGGGACAUGGGGAGCACGUGAUUGAUGAGGUGGAGGAGGUGAAUGAGACUGUUUUGGAAGUUGUAGAGGAGAAUGGGUCACAUCCACAAGAUCUUUCUAUGACUAAUAUUUUUAUGCCUAGUUCAUUUGUUCUUGAUGUGCAGGUUGUUGAUGAAAACAUUCAUGACGAAAGUUUUAUCCUAUUUCCACCUAUUCAAAAG